Molecule: ribosomal RNA, 515 nt
Filed under: uncultured bacterium
Lineage: Bacteria
Description: bacterial SSU rRNA
Rfam family: Bacterial small subunit ribosomal RNA
Source: RNAcentral
GAUGAACGCUAGCGAUAGGCCUAACACAUGCAAGUCGAGGGGCAUCACAUGAAGUAGCAAUACGGAUGGUGGCGACCGGCGCACGGGUGAGUAACACGUAUGCAACCUGCCUUCAACAAGGGGAUAACCCGUUGAAAGACGGACUAAUACCCUAUAACACAGGGGUCCCGCAUGGGGAAUAUUUGUUAAAGGACAACCGGUUGAAGAUGGGCAUGCGUUCCAUUAGCUAGUUGGCGGGGUAAGGCCCACCAAGGCAACGAUGGAUAGGGGAACUGAGAGGUUUAUCCCCCACACUGGUACUGAGACACGGACCAGACUCCUACGGGAGGCAGCAGUGAGGAAUAUUGGUCAAUGGACGCAAGUCUGAACCAGCCACGUCGCGUGAAGGAAGACGGCCCUACGGGUUGUAAACUUCUUUUGCAAGGGAAUAAAGUGGGCCACGUGUGGCCUUUUGCAAGUACCUUGCGAAUAAGGAUCGGCUAACUCCGUGCCAGCAGCCGCGGUAAGUACUGACU